CGGAUCCUUUCGGGUCUGGUAAUUGGAAUGAGAACGAGUUAAACUUUUUAUCGAUGACCGAUUGGAGGGCAAGUCUGGUGCCAGCAGCCGCGGUAAUACCAGCUCCAAUAACGUAUGUUAAAGUUGUUGCAGUUAAAAAGCUCGUAGUCGUACUGUUGGUGUGUGUUGGUGUAUGCGAUGUCGAACGACAUGUGCUGCGUAAUGCAUCCUUUCGUCUAUUGUGCUAGUGCCUGGUCUUGAUUGGCUGCGGUGCUAUGGUGCGUAGACCUUUUACUGUGAGAAAAUUAGAGUGCUCAAGGCAAGCGUGACUGCGUUUGAAUAUUACAGCAUGGGAUAACAAAAUACGACUUUCGUUUGAUUUUGUUGGUUUCAUUGACCGGAAGUAAUGAUGGAUAGGGAUAGUUGGGGGUGCUAGUAUUGUGCGGCCAGAGGUGAAAUUCAUGGAUUCGCUCAAGACUAACUAAUGCGAAAGCAUUCACCAAGGAUGUGCCCUUUGAUCAAGAACGAAAGUUGAGGGAUCGAAGAUGAUCAGAUACCGUCGUAGUCUCACCCAUAAACUAUGCCGACUAGGGAUUGGCGAAACGGUUUGUACGUUCGUCASCACCUCGUGAGAAAUCAAAGUGUUUGGGCUCCGGGGGGAGUAUGGYCGCAAGGCUGAAACUUAAAG
Molecule: ribosomal RNA, 667 nt
Filed under: Maullinia braseltonii
Lineage: Eukaryota; Endomyxa; Phytomyxea; Phagomyxida; Phagomyxidae
Description: SSU rRNA
Rfam family: Eukaryotic small subunit ribosomal RNA
Source: RNAcentral